Molecule: ribosomal RNA, 301 nt
Filed under: uncultured bacterium
Lineage: Bacteria
Description: partial 16S ribosomal RNA
Rfam family: Bacterial small subunit ribosomal RNA
Source: RNAcentral
CAGCAGCCACGGUAAUACGAAGGGGGCUAGCGUUGCUCGGAAUCACUGGGCGUAAAGGGUGCGUAGGCGGGUCUUUAAGUCAGGGGUGAAAUCCUGGAGCUCAACUCCAGAACUGCCUUUGAUACUGAAGAUCUUGAGUUCGGGAGAGGUGAGUGGAACUGCGAGUGUAGAGGUGAAAUUCGUAGAUAUUCGCAAGAACACCAGUGGCGAAGGCGGCUCACUGGCCCGAUACUGACGCUGAGGCACGAAAGCGUGGGGAGCAAACAGGAUUAGAUACCUGCGUAGUCCCUGUCUCUUAUAA